CACGUAGGGGGCGAGCGUUGUCCGGAAUUAUUGGGCGUAAAGAGCUCGUAGGCGGUUCGGUAAGUCGGGUGUGAAAACUCAGGGCUCAACCCUGAGACGCCACCCGAUACUGCUGUGACUAGAGUCCGGUAGGGGAGCGUGGAAUUCCUGGUGUAGCGGUGAAAUGCGCAGAUAUCAGGAGGAACACCAGCGGCGAAGGCGGCGCUCUGGGCCGGUACUGACGCUGAGGAGCGAAAGCGUGGGGAGCAAA
RNAcentral lists this ribosomal RNA (250 nucleotides) under uncultured Aquihabitans sp. RNAcentral describes it as "partial 16S ribosomal RNA". It matches the Rfam family "Bacterial small subunit ribosomal RNA", at positions 524 to 772 of the family's 1533-position model. Lineage: Bacteria; Bacillati; Actinomycetota; Acidimicrobiia; Acidimicrobiales; Iamiaceae. The record is from RNAcentral.